CACUCAAGCUGAUCUCAGAAGGACCUUUCUUAGUUCCUUGGACUCACUUGCACCACAGCUGAUCCAACUCUAUAGAGCAAGAAGUGGAGCCCUGGGAGAAGACAUCCAGACAUUCUUGGACAGACUUGACGAAUGGGUAACUCAUUGAAUUUAGACAGCAACAUUAGUUACCUCCUAAUUUUAAAUGUAUGAUAGGUUUUUUCCCUGCUGCCUAUUUUCUCUUUCAGACCUCUAAUAUCCUGGCACACCGGAAAUCUACAACAGUUUGCGGCCUACCAUUGUCGCUAAAAGAAAAAGCAGACAACCUACUGCGAACAUGUCUGGACACAGAUAAGGAGGAAACCUUCACUAAGGGACUCAAAGUUGGUACCCUGACUGUUGUUGAAGAUGAUGUGGCAACAGUAAACUCCAACCCAAACGAAUGAAGGCUAUACAAUGCUUGAAACUGCCAAAAAACUUUCAAGAAGAUUUCAUACAAAGAUGUACACUACAGUCUUCAAAGACAAAGGACAGCUGGCUCUAACAAGGACAGAAAGAGAUGUGGAAGGCCAGAUGUACAACUAAACAAGAGGAUAAGUACAUCAAAGUCACUAGUUUGAGAAAUAGAAGCCUCGCAUGUCCUCAGCUGACAGCUUCAUUGAAUUCUACCCGCUCAUCACCAGUUUCAUGUACAACAGUAAAGAGAAAACUCAGGGGUGCAGGCCUUAUGGGAAGAAUUGCAAAGAAAAAGCCACUUAUGAAACUAUAAAAAAUAAAAUGGUUAGAGUGUGCAAAGAAACAAAGACCUUAACCCCACUGAGCAUUUGUGGGAUCAGCUAGACUGUAAGGUGCGUGAGAAUUGCCUGACAAGACAGCCACAUCUAUGGCAAGUGUUACAGGAAGUGUGUGGUGAAAUGUCACCUGAGUAUCUGGACAAACUGACGGCUAGAAUGCCAAGGAUCUGCAAAGCUGUCAUUGCUGCACGUGGAGGAUUUUUUGAUGGGAAGUCUUUGAAGUAGUUUAAGAAGUUCUGAAAAAAAUAAAAUAAUUACAAUUGUAAUAGUAAUUUUUCAUGUUAUUAAUGUCCUGACUAUACAUUGUGAUCAGUUGAAUGCCACUUUGGUGAAUAAAAGUACCAAUUUAAUUCCAUAAGAGCAAAAUCUGUACAUUAUUCAAAACUUUUGGCUGCCAGUGUAUUUCUUUCUUCUGUUUAAGCCUUGCACUGUUAAUAUCUUGAAGUAUUAUU
Long non-coding RNA from Myxocyprinus asiaticus (Chinese sucker), 1225 nucleotides. RefSeq lists it as uncharacterized. The record is from RefSeq and is a predicted model, not a curated record. Lineage: Eukaryota; Metazoa; Chordata; Actinopteri; Cypriniformes; Catostomidae. The transcript has 3 exons.